UACGUAGGGUGCAAGCGUUAAUCGGAAUUACUGGGCGUAAAGCGUGCGCAGGCGGUUGUGUAAGACAGAUGUGAAAUCCCCGGGCUCAACCUGGGAACUGCAUUUGUGACUGCACGGCUGGAGUGCGGCAGAGGGGGAUGGAAUUCCGCGUGUAGCAGUGAAAUGCGUAGAUAUGCGGAGGAACACCGAUGGCGAAGGCAGGUCUCUGGGCCACUACUGACGCUGAGAAGCGAAAGCGUGGGGAGCAAACAGG
This 253-nucleotide ribosomal RNA is filed under the name uncultured bacterium. RNAcentral describes it as "partial 16S ribosomal RNA". It matches the Rfam family "Bacterial small subunit ribosomal RNA", at positions 524 to 776 of the family's 1533-position model. The record is from RNAcentral.